ACAAUAUCUGACUAAUAAUUUUCUAUUUUUUUCCCUCUCCACAGGAAAGAAACCUGCCCGAAGAAGAUUUAUAUGAUUCAAUUGGACAGCAAUAAUCCAGUGACUUGCUUUUUAUUUGAAGCCAUGGCAAAAAAGGAUUCGUAGAAUAUAGUCAGCCGUCUUUUGUAAAUGUCUGUAUUCAACUUCUUUAAUAUAGAUAACCAUGUAAAUAUGUGCAUGCGUUUCUUUUACAGACAAAAACCUAUUUGCCAAAUAGCCAUGGCUAGGACUAUCAAAUAACAAUUUAACCAUCCGUUGGCUUGCCCUUCUUUUCAAAGACUGUCGGUCGCGCUCAACCAACCAAUAAUGUUUCCUAUCUGGUAAAUAAUUUAUGGGGAUGUUUGAGGGUUGGGGGAUUUUUGGGCCGCCCCCUCCCCCUUUUUGAGUAGAGGACUGAAAAGAAGCAAAACAUCAGAGACACAUAAAGGCAAGAAUACCCCCCCUCCCAAUUACUUUACGAGGAAGGGUUGGGAUAAAAGGCUGUAAAUGGGCGUGGUUGGCAUUUUAAAGAAGUAAACAAUCUGCAAACAACAAACAAAGCUAACAUCACUUCCCAGUACAAAUGCCAUCAUAAGACUUCUGAGGAGUGUAAUGCAUUUUAUGCGGAGGCGCCGAAUGGACAAUCCCGCAAACUUUCCACCAGCAGACAACGGAACUGAUUUGGGAGUGAGUGAGAUCAAGCGAGUGAGAUCAUGUCCACAUUGGGACUGGACACUGAAAUGAUUCCGUUCGCCGGUUGCACCGAGACUGUCAAGAUGAUGCAGGCCAGUAUCCAGUGUGAAGGACAUCCAAACUGCCAGGCAUCAUCCAUUCAUAUGAAGAAGAUUGCUUAGGCAGGCAAAUGUAAUACGGAUCACAUAAGAUGGUUGCUGCUUUUAUGGGAGAGGGCUUCGCUGUAUUUUUUCAUGUUUCUGAAUGGUUGUUUUUAUAUUUUUGGUGACCUCCUGGUAUGUUGGAAAAGUAGUAUAAAAUAAUUUUAUUUAUUUUUUAAAAAAUAUAUAUUUCUGCCUCCACUGCAUUUGUGAGCUGCCCAAGAAUGAAAGAUUUUUUUUAUUUUUAAGAGCUUGUAAAUCAAAGGUUUUUUCCCCCUUAAUAAAGCAUAAUCCGGUGAAAUAUUUAAAUAUAAG
This 1166-nucleotide long non-coding RNA is filed under the name Pogona vitticeps (central bearded dragon). RNAcentral's name for it is "lncRNA (ENSPVIG00000015312.1)". The record is from RNAcentral. Lineage: Eukaryota; Metazoa; Chordata; Lepidosauria; Squamata; Agamidae.